This 160-nucleotide ribosomal RNA is filed under the name uncultured bacterium. Its description in RNAcentral is "partial 16S rRNA". It matches the Rfam family "Bacterial small subunit ribosomal RNA", at positions 355 to 507 of the family's 1533-position model. The record is from RNAcentral.
UAGGGAAUCUUCCGCAAUGGACGCAAGUCUGACGGAGCAACGCCGCGUGAGUGAUGAAGGUUUUCGGAUCGUAAAGCUCUGUUGCCCUAGACGAACAGCAAGGCGAGUAACUGCGCUUUGUGUGACGGUAUAGGAGAAGAAAGCCCCGGCUAACUACAUG